Molecule: long non-coding RNA, 441 nt
Filed under: Mytilus galloprovincialis (Mediterranean mussel)
Lineage: Eukaryota; Metazoa; Mollusca; Bivalvia; Mytilida; Mytilidae
Source: RNAcentral
AAUAUUAAGCUUCUCAAUGAUCAAAAUUGGUGUUUGUCAAACUGCUAUAUAACCAGUGAAAUUUUUCUGACAAAAAGGUUGGUUAAAAGUUUUUGAAAUUUUUAUAUUUUUGUCAAAGAGUCAAAGUAAAUACCUUGUCAAAAUUUUAUGAAAAAUAAAUGAGCCAAAUUAAUUUUGAUGAAGGUGUUGGGUACCACCUUAAGGGGAACCACUUAUGGUAGGUCAAUGAUAUUUGGCACAUUUUAUUUCCAUGGUGAGAAUUGGAUCCUUUUUUCUCAGUCAUGGGUCUAAUGACUUCGAAAGUUUUGCAUAGUUUACAUGUUAAAGAUCAGGGUAAAUUGGAAAAGAACAGAAAUUUAAUGAAUAAAAAAAGAUGUCUGCUGUUGGAAUAAAUCAUGUUACUUAUAUUGAUUCAUAUACCUAAGCCUAUUAUUUUAUUAU